RNAcentral lists this long non-coding RNA (592 nucleotides) under Nicotiana benthamiana. RNAcentral's name for it is "long non-coding RNA (NBEN_LNC005628)". The record is from RNAcentral. Lineage: Eukaryota; Viridiplantae; Streptophyta; Magnoliopsida; Solanales; Solanaceae.
GGAGCCCCUAUCCUACAACCCUGAUACUAGACCUCCAGACUUUCCUAUCAAGGGCCGUGUCCUCGGAAACCCACAUUCUAGUCAUGUCAUGCCUAAUCACCUCUCCCCAGUACCUCUUAGGCCUCCCUCUGCCUCGCCAUACGCCGACCAUCGCAAGUCGCUCACAACUCCUCACCGGAGAAUCAGGACUUCUCCUCCGCACAUGCCCGAACCACCUCAGCCUCGCUUCUCGCAUCUUCUCAUCCACCAGGGCCACCUCCACCUUCUCUCGAAUAACUUCAUUCUUAAUCUUAUCUAACCUAGUGAGCCCGCAUAUCCCCCUGAGCNNNNNNNNNNGAGGAGUACGAAAAACUCUAGGGGCCCCUAUCCUACAACCCUGAUACUAGACCUCCAGACUUUCCUAUCAAGGGCCAUGUCCUCAGAAACCCGCAUUCUUGCCAUGUCAUGCCUAAUCACUUCUCCCCAAUACCUCUUAGGCCUCCCUCUGUCUCGCCGUGCGCCGACCAUCGCCAGCCGCUCACAACUCCUGACCGGGGCAUCAGGACUUCUCCUCCGUACAUGCCCGAACCACCUCAGCCUCGCUUCUCACAUC